Molecule: ribosomal RNA, 253 nt
Filed under: uncultured bacterium
Lineage: Bacteria
Description: partial 16S ribosomal RNA
Rfam family: Bacterial small subunit ribosomal RNA
Source: RNAcentral
UACAGAGGUGGCAAGCGUUGUUCGGAAUUACUGGGCGUAAAGGGCGCGUAGGCGGCCCACUAAGUCAGACGUGAAAUCCCCCGGCUUAACCUGGGAACUGCGUCUGAUACUGGAGGGCUUGAGUAUGGGAGAGGGAUGUAGAAUUCCAGGUGUAGCGGUGAAAUGCGUAGAUAUCCGGAGGAACACCGGUGGCGAAGGCGGCUUCCUGGACCGACACUGACGCUGAGGCGCGAAAGCUAGGGGAGCAAACGGG